Molecule: small RNA, 135 nt
Filed under: Streptomyces rubrolavendulae
Lineage: Bacteria; Bacillati; Actinomycetota; Actinomycetes; Kitasatosporales; Streptomycetaceae
Description: c-di-AMP sequence
Rfam family: c-di-AMP riboswitch aptamer (ydaO/yuaA leader)
About the family: This family represents a conserved RNA structure found upstream of the ydaO and yuaA genes in Bacillus subtilis and related genes in other bacteria. The ydaO/yuaA element is thought to act as a genetic "off" switch for the ydaO and yuaA genes in its native state.
Source: Rfam by way of RNAcentral
CGUGCGCAUGCGCCGAAUCCCGCGAGGGAACCGGGGAACCACACACUUGGGGUGAAUCGGGCUCUGAACGGCCCGUAGGAGACCUUCCUGCUCCGAACCCGUCAGCUAACCCGGUAGGCGGAGAAGGAAGGAAAG